CAAACGACUCUCGGCAACGGAUAUCUCGGCUCUCGCAUCGAUGAAGAACGUAGCGAAAUGCGAUACCUGGUGUGAAUUGCAGAAUCCCGCGAACCAUCGAGUCUUUGAACGCAAGUUGCGCCCGAGGCCUUCGGGCCGAGGGCACGCCUGCCUGGGCGCCACGC
This 164-nucleotide ribosomal RNA is filed under the name Canna tuerckheimii. RNAcentral's name for it is "5.8S ribosomal RNA". It matches the Rfam family "5.8S ribosomal RNA". From Rfam's summary of the family: 5.8S ribosomal RNA (5.8S rRNA) is a component of the large subunit of the eukaryotic ribosome. It is transcribed by RNA polymerase I as part of the 45S precursor that also contains 18S and 28S rRNA. Functionally, it is thought that 5.8S rRNA may be involved in ribosome translocation. Lineage: Eukaryota; Viridiplantae; Streptophyta; Magnoliopsida; Zingiberales; Cannaceae. The record is from RNAcentral.